AUUGAACGCUGGCGGCAUGCCUUACACAUGCAAGUCGAACGGCAGCACGGGUGCUUGCCCCUGGUGGCGAGUGGCGAACGGGUGAGUAAUACAUCGGAACAUGUCCUGUAGUGGGGGAUAGCCCGGCGAAAGCCGGAUUAAUACCGCAUACGAUCUACGGAUGAAAGCGGGGGACCUUCGGGCCUCGCGCUAUAGGGUUGGCCGAUGGCUGAUUAGCUAGUUGGUGGGGUAAAGGCCUACCAAGGCGACGAUCAGUAGCUGGUCUGAGAGGACGACCGGCCACACUGGGACGGAGACACGGCCCAGACUCCUACGGGAGGCAGCAGUGGGGAAUUUUGGACAAUGGGCGAAAGCCUGAUCCAGCAAUGCCGCGUGUGUGAAGAAGGCCUUCGGGUUGUAAAGCACUUUUGUCCGGAAAGAAAUCCUUGGCCCUAAUACGGUCGGGGGAUGACGGUACCGGAAGAAUAAGCACCGGCUAACUACGUG
This 486-nucleotide ribosomal RNA is filed under the name uncultured bacterium. RNAcentral describes it as "partial 16S ribosomal RNA". It matches the Rfam family "Bacterial small subunit ribosomal RNA", at positions 30 to 507 of the family's 1533-position model. The record is from RNAcentral.